CAAUGUUACAGCUUUUAGAAUUUGUCUCACAGGCUUUCCGGUCUUUGUAGGAAAGCCCAU
Molecule: small nuclear RNA, 60 nt
Organism: Callithrix jacchus (white-tufted-ear marmoset)
Lineage: Eukaryota; Metazoa; Chordata; Mammalia; Primates; Cebidae
Gene: U7
Rfam family: U7 small nuclear RNA
About the family: Animal histone pre-mRNAs are spliced by a different mechanism than nuclear pre-mRNAs and self-splicing introns. This processing involves the U7 snRNP, which contains only one RNA species: U7.
Source: Ensembl